GCUGGUUUGGCUCAGUGGAUAGAGCAUCAGCCUGUGGGCUGAAGGGUACCUGGUUCAAUUCCAGUCAAGAGCA
This 73-nucleotide transfer RNA is filed under the name Myotis davidii. It matches the Rfam family "tRNA". From Rfam's summary of the family: Transfer RNA (tRNA) molecules are approximately 80 nucleotides in length. Their secondary structure includes four short double-helical elements and three loops (D, anti-codon, and T loops). Further hydrogen bonds mediate the characteristic L-shaped molecular structure. tRNAs have two regions of fundamental functional importance: the anti-codon, which is responsible for specific mRNA codon recognition, and the 3' end, to which the tRNAs corresponding amino acid is attached (by aminoacyl-tRNA synthetases). tRNAs cope with the degeneracy of the genetic code in two manners: having more than one tRNA (with a specific anti-codon) for a particular amino acid; and 'wobble' base-pairing, i.e. permitting non-standard base-pairing at the 3rd anti-codon position. Lineage: Eukaryota; Metazoa; Chordata; Mammalia; Chiroptera; Vespertilionidae. The record is from Rfam by way of RNAcentral.